Non-coding RNA from Schistosoma margrebowiei, 82 nucleotides. NCBI's taxonomy places the organism in Eukaryota, Metazoa, Platyhelminthes, Trematoda, Strigeidida, Schistosomatidae. The record is from Rfam.
AGCCUUCUGUAUCCGUGCUGAGAUUUCGUCACACACCAAACCACAAGGGCUGAUGAGACUUCCAACUCAACUACUUCACUCC